UUAAAGUUUUAUUUUGGCUUUAUAUUUUGUUGUAAAUAUAUUUUAUAUGUAAGUUUUUGCGAGAAUUUUUAUUUAUUUUAAUAAUAAAUAAAAUAUAAAAUAAAUAAUCUCAGUAAUUAGUUUUAUUAAUCAAGGAAAUUUGGAAAUAGUAAUUUUUAUUAGUAUUGGUUAAAUUUGUGCCAGCAGCCGCGGUUAUACAAAUAAUACAAAUAAAAUUUGUUUAGUGAAAGUUAAUAUAUAAAAAUUAAAAUAUAUUUAAAUUUAUUAGGUGAAAUUUUAAAUUUAUACAUUUUUAAGAUUUUGAGUUUAUGAAGCUUAUAAAUUUUAAUUAAAAACUAGGAUUAGAUACCCUAUUAUUUAAAAUGUAAAAGUAAACAUUAAAGUAGUAUUAGUUAUGUUCUUGAAACUUAAAAAAUUUGGCGGUAUUUUAUUCUAUUCAGAGGAACCUGUCCUGUAAUUGAUAAUCCACGAUGUACCUCACUUAAAUUUGUUUUUCAGUUUAUAUACCGUCGUUAUUAGAAUAUUUUAUUAGAAUAAUAAUUUUCAAUAAUUUCAAUUAAAAUUUAUAUCAGAUCAAGGUGUAGCUUAUAUUUAAGAAGAGAUGGGUUACAAUAAAUUUAUUUAAACGGAUUUAAUUUUUAAAUAUUUUAAUGAAGGUGGAUUUGAUAGUAAAAAUUAAAAGAUUAUAGUUUUGAUUUUAGUUUUAAAAUAUGCACACAUCGCCCGUCACUCUUAUUAUUAAGGUAAGAUAAGUCGUAACAUAGUAGAUGUACCGGAAGGUGUAUCUAGAAUGA
RNAcentral lists this non-coding RNA (794 nucleotides) under Zeugodacus rubellus. Lineage: Eukaryota; Metazoa; Arthropoda; Insecta; Diptera; Tephritidae. The record is from RNAcentral.